UUUUGGAAUCUAAAGUUGGGGAGAGUAAAGUGAAAAGUUGAUUAGAAACUUGGAAAAGUGAGUUUUUAUGAAAGGGUAAAAAUAUAAAAAGAAACAAGAAAAAGAAAUCACCCUUGAAACCAUAGAGCAAAGAAAAAAGAAAAGAAAGAAAAAAAGCAAAGAAAAUGCUCAUGGUUGUGUGGAUGUAAAAAGAAAAAGAAAAAAGAUAGGGAUCAAAGAAAGGGAAAUUGUGUAGAGUUGAAUGUUUGGGAAUGCUCCCUUAGAAUAG
This 268-nucleotide long non-coding RNA is filed under the name Lathyrus oleraceus (garden pea). RNAcentral describes it as "Pisum sativum (pea) long non-coding RNA (PSAT_LNC028083)". The record is from RNAcentral. Lineage: Eukaryota; Viridiplantae; Streptophyta; Magnoliopsida; Fabales; Fabaceae.